UACGUAGGGUGCGAGCGUUGUCCGGAAUUACUGGGCGUAAAGAGCUCGUAGGUGGUUUGUCGCGUUGUCCGUGAAAACUCACAACUCAAUUGUGGGCGUGCGGGCGAUACGGGCAGACUGGAGUACUGCAGGGGGAGACUGGAAUUCCUGGUGUAGCGGUGGAAUGCGCAGAUAUCGGGAAGAACACCCGUGGCGAAGGCGGCUCUCUGGGACGGUACUGACGCUGAGACGCGAAAGCGUGGGGGAGCGAACAGG
RNAcentral lists this ribosomal RNA (255 nucleotides) under uncultured bacterium. Its description in RNAcentral is "partial 16S ribosomal RNA". It matches the Rfam family "Bacterial small subunit ribosomal RNA", at positions 524 to 776 of the family's 1533-position model. The record is from RNAcentral.